GGAGCGUUGGUCUAGUGGCCUAGGACGCACGGUUUUCAACCGUUGAGGACGCAGGGUUCGAAUCCCGCCCGCUCCGCCA
RNAcentral lists this transfer RNA (79 nucleotides) under Robiginitomaculum sp. RNAcentral's name for it is "tRNA-Glu". It matches the Rfam family "tRNA". From Rfam's summary of the family: Transfer RNA (tRNA) molecules are approximately 80 nucleotides in length. Lineage: Bacteria; Pseudomonadati; Pseudomonadota; Alphaproteobacteria; Maricaulales; Robiginitomaculaceae. The record is from RNAcentral.